Molecule: ribosomal RNA, 211 nt
Filed under: uncultured eukaryote
Lineage: Eukaryota
Description: partial 18S ribosomal RNA
Rfam family: Eukaryotic small subunit ribosomal RNA
Source: RNAcentral
UGGUGGGGUGACUUGUCUGGUUGAUUCCGUUAACGAACGAGACCUUGACUUACUAAAUAGCUGGUGGAAGAUAGGGCGCUAAGGCUGCGAGUCUGUAUUUUCGGAAGGAUCAGUUCCCCGUGAAUAGUUGUGCUUCGCAGUUGCUUUUUUUCCAUAAAGCUUCUUAGAGGGACUAUUUGUGAUAAGCAAAUGGAAGUUCGAGGCAAAAACA